ACGAUGCGAUAGUAUGUGAUUGCAGAAUUCAGUGAAUCAUCGAGUCUUUGAACGCACAUUGCGCCCCCUGGUAUUCCGGGGGGCAUGCCUGUCCGAGCGUCAUUGCUGCCCUCAAGCACGGCUUGUGUGUUGGGCCCCCGUCCCCGGUUCUCCCCGGGGACGGGCCCGAAAGGCAGCGGCGGCACCGCGUCCGAUCCUCGAGCGUAUGGGGCUUUGUCACCCGCUCUGUAGGCCCGGCCGGCGCCAGCCGACACCCCAACUUUAUUUUUCUAAGGUUGACCUCGGAUCAGUAGGGAUACCCGCUGAACUUAAGCAUAUCAAUAAGCGGAGGAA
RNAcentral lists this ribosomal RNA (333 nucleotides) under Aspergillus hiratsukae. RNAcentral's name for it is "eukaryotic LSU rRNA". The stretch from base 1 to 102 matches the Rfam family "5.8S ribosomal RNA", at positions 50 to 154 of the family's 154-position model. The record is from RNAcentral. Lineage: Eukaryota; Fungi; Ascomycota; Eurotiomycetes; Eurotiales; Aspergillaceae.